AACGCACCUUGCGCCCUUUGGCCAUUCCGAAGGGCAUGCCUGUUUGAGUAUCAUGAACACCUCAACUCUUCAUGGUUUUCCAUGAUGAGUUUGGACUUUGGGGGUUUUGCUGGCCCUACGGUCAGCUCCUCUGAAAUAAAUCAGCUUGCCAGUGUUUGGUGGGUAUCAUAGGUGUGAUAACUAUCUACGCUUGUGGUUCUUCCACCGGGUAACCUUCAGCAGUGGAGGUUCACUGGAGCUCACAGACGUCUCUCCUCAGUGAGGACAGCCCUUUGAAUGUUUGAUCUCAAAUCAGGUAGGACUACCCGCUGAACUUAA
This 318-nucleotide unclassified non-coding RNA is filed under the name uncultured Tomentella. RNAcentral's name for it is "sequence contains ITS2". The record is from RNAcentral. Lineage: Eukaryota; Fungi; Basidiomycota; Agaricomycetes; Thelephorales; Thelephoraceae.